CCUUCAACCGGUAAAUUGCAGGGAUAGAGAGAGUAUCUGUAGAUUAAGACUUAGAAGAUAUAUCAACCAAGUAACCACUUACAAAACAUAGACUGGAUUUGGAUCCUGAAUUGAACACAUUUUCUUUUAAAGAGUCCUGAGGGCCAAGAUGGCAAACUGGUUCCACCAAGCCAAGCAAGCCCAAACCAUCGCUACCCAGGAUGGAAGCCUCAUUUCGCCAGGGCCACCCAUGAGGCAAGCGAAUGAAAUAUUCACCUGGACUCACCAUCAUCAACACUUCAAGAAAACUGUGGUUUGGAUGAUCAAAACCAUUUACCAUCCCAGCCAGCCUGCCCCCUUCCAAAAGAAAGAGCAUGUUUCAGCACCAACUCCUACAAAGAAGAGUGACUGCUUUAAAACAGGGACGGUCAGAUGGGCUAAUUUCCUGAAUGUUUCCCAAAUAUUUCUUUUCAUUUCUUCCUAUAAGAGAUGCUUUCCACAAAUACCAAGGUAUUGAUUUUCCAAUUGAUCGAGGUGGAGAAUGUUUCAUACAGUUAUGACUCCUGACAAGUGGGGAAUAAAAAGCCAAUCAUAAUGA
RNAcentral lists this long non-coding RNA (577 nucleotides) under Homo sapiens (human). RNAcentral describes it as "HSALNT0402086". Lineage: Eukaryota; Metazoa; Chordata; Mammalia; Primates; Hominidae. The record is from RNAcentral.